RNAcentral lists this ribosomal RNA (242 nucleotides) under uncultured bacterium. RNAcentral's name for it is "partial 16S ribosomal RNA". It matches the Rfam family "Bacterial small subunit ribosomal RNA", at positions 92 to 334 of the family's 1533-position model. The record is from RNAcentral.
CGAGUGGCGGACGGGUGAGUAAUGCGUAGGAAUCUACCUAAUUGUGUGGGAUAGCCUAGGGAAACUUAGGGUAAUACCGCAUAAGCCCUACGGGGGAAAGGCAGGGGACUGUUAAAGGCCUUGCGCGAUUAGAUGAGCUUACGUCGGAUUAGCUAGUUGGUGGGGUAAAGGCCUACCAAGGCGAUGAUCCGUAGCUGGUCUGAGAGGACGACCAGCCACACUGGGACUGAGACACGGCCCAG